Molecule: long non-coding RNA, 530 nt
Filed under: Bos taurus (domestic cattle)
Lineage: Eukaryota; Metazoa; Chordata; Mammalia; Artiodactyla; Bovidae
Description: long non-coding RNA NONBTAT000589
Source: RNAcentral
CAGUUCCAGAGUCAUAUAGCUAACUGCAUAUUUAAAUUGAUAGUGUCUCUAGGUGCUGAGUCACUUGUUUUUGUGUAAGUUUUUGAUAUUGCUCCACUUGGACAAUUUUAAUGACCAAAACUUAACGUGGAUAAAGCUACUUAACCAAAGCAUUCACAGCGGGGGAAGGAAGAGGGUAGGAUGAACAUUAAUGUGUUUAGAAUGGAAUUCUUCAUUGCAGGUUUGGAAUUGAAAUGAACAUUCUCAGUCAUGUUUAUUCCUAGAAUCCAGUUCUCUCAAGUGUCACCAAACUGAGCUGGUGAAAUAGUCCUAGGAUUUUAGGAAAUAGGAAGAUUAGGUAAUAGAAUGUUUUGCUUCCAUGGUGCCAGGGAUUGGCUGACCAAAGGACAAGCCAGUCCUGGUUCUCAGCAUUCCCUGUAUUUGUGUAGUAGAGGUAGAUCUGAGGGUUACUGUUCGUAUUUUACUUCUAAAUGCUUGCUGAUUUAGGAAGAGUCUCUUACUCUAAAAUUCUUGAUAUUUGGAACUUUAAG